Non-coding RNA from Potamilus streckersoni, 78 nucleotides. The record is from the annotation of a GenBank genome assembly. NCBI's taxonomy places the organism in Eukaryota, Metazoa, Mollusca, Bivalvia, Unionida, Unionidae.
ACCACUCCACUGGCCUAGUGGUUAAAGCAUCUGACUCGGAUGCGGGAAGUCGUGGGUUUGAUCCCCAGUCAAGUGAUA